RNAcentral lists this unclassified non-coding RNA (377 nucleotides) under uncultured Parachlamydiaceae bacterium. Its description in RNAcentral is "contains 16S-23S intergenic spacer region". Lineage: Bacteria; Pseudomonadati; Chlamydiota; Chlamydiia; Parachlamydiales; Parachlamydiaceae. The record is from RNAcentral.
UCCUGGUUAACCCAGGCAGUCUCAUUAGAGUUCCCACCUUAAAUGUUGGCAACUAAUGAUAAGGGUUGCGCUCGUUGCGGGACUUAACCCAACACCUCACGGCACGAGCUGACGACAGCCAUGCAGCACCUGUGCAGAUGCCCCGAAGGGAGAUCCUAUUUCUAGGACUGUCAUCUGCAUGUCAAACCUGGGUAAGGUUCUUCGCGUUGCAUCGAAUUAAACCACAUGCUCCACUGCUUGUGCGGGUCCCCGUCAAUUCUUUUGAGUUUCACCCUUGCGAGUGUACUCCCCAGGCGGUAUACUUAACGCGUUAGCUACGGCACAACCGGGGUUGAGUCCAGUUACACCAAGUAUACAUAGUUUACGGCAAGGACUAC